This 750-nucleotide ribosomal RNA is filed under the name uncultured bacterium. RNAcentral describes it as "bacterial SSU rRNA". It matches the Rfam family "Bacterial small subunit ribosomal RNA", at positions 43 to 800 of the family's 1533-position model. The record is from RNAcentral.
CAGGCCUAACACAUGCAAGUCGAACGCUGAAGCUUGGUGCUUGCACUGGGUGGAUGAGUGGCGAACGGGUGAGUAUCACGUGAAUAACCUGCCCCUGACUUCGGGAUAAGCCUGGGAAGCUGGGUCUAAUACCGGAUAUGACCAUCUUUCGCAUGUUGGGUGGUGGAAAGUUUUUUCGGUUGGGGAUGGGCUCGCGGCCUAUCAGUUUGUUGGUGGGGUAAUGGCCUACCAAGACGACGACGGGUAGCCGGCCUGAGAGGGCGACCGGCCACACUGGGACUGAGACACGGCCCAGACUCCUACGGGAGGCAGCAGUGGGGAAUAUUGCACAAUGGGGGAAACCCUGAUGCAGCGACGCCGCGUGGGGGAUGACGGCCUUCGGGUUGUAAACCUCUUUCAGUAGGGAAGAAGCCUUUGGGUGACGGUACCUGCAGAAGAAGUACCGGCUAACUACGUGCCAGCAGCCGCGGUAAUACGUAGGGUACAAGCGUUGUCCGGAAUUAUUGGGCGUAAAGAGCUCGUAGGUGGUUUGUCGCGUCUGCUGUGGAAUCGUGCCGCUUAACGGUGCGCGUGCAGUGGGUACGGGCAGACUGGAGUGCAGUAGGGGAGUCUGGAAUUCCUGGUGUAGCGGUGAAAUGCGCAGAUAUCAGGAGGAACACCGGUGGCGAAGGCGGGACUCUGGGCUGUUACUGACGCUGAGGAGCGAAAGCAUGGGGAGCGAACAGGAUUAGAUACCCUGGUAGUCCAUGC